RNAcentral lists this ribosomal RNA (912 nucleotides) under uncultured bacterium. RNAcentral describes it as "bacterial SSU rRNA". It matches the Rfam family "Bacterial small subunit ribosomal RNA", at positions 10 to 916 of the family's 1533-position model. The record is from RNAcentral.
AGUUUGAUCCUGGCUCAGAUUGAACGCUGGCGGCAUGCCUUACACAUGCAAGUCGAACGGCAGCACGGGUGCUUGCACCUGGUGGCGAGUGGCGAACGGGUGAGUAAUACAUCGGAAUGUACCUUGUAGUGGGGGAUAGCUCGGCGAAAGCCGGAUUAAUACCGCAUACGCUCUGAGGAGGAAAGCGGGGGACCUUCGGGCCUCGUGCUACAAGAGCAGCCGAUGUCAGAUUAGCUAGUUGGUGGGGUAAAAGCUCACCAAGGCGACGAUCUGUAGCUGGUCUGAGAGGACGACCAGCCACACUGGGACUGAGACACGGCCCAGACUCCUACGGGAGGCAGCAGUGGGGAAUUUUGGACAAUGGGCGAAAGCCUGAUCCAGCAAUGCCGCGUGUGUGAAGAAGGCCUUCGGGUUGUAAAGCACUUUUGUCCGGAAAGAAAUCCUUUGGGUUAAUACCUCGGGGGGAUGACGGUACCGGAAGAAUAAGCACCGGCUAACUACGUGCCAGCAGCCGCGGUAAUACGUAGGGUGCAAGCGUUAAUCGGAAUUACUGGGCGUAAAGCGUGCGCAGGCGGUUUUGUAAGACGGAUGUGAAAUCCCCGGGCUUAACCUGGGAACUGCAUCCGUGACUGCAAGGCUAGAGUAUGGCAGAGGGGGGUAGAAUUCCGCGUGUAGCAGUGAAAUGCGUAGAGAUGUGGAGGAAUACCGAUGGCGAAGGCAGCCCCCUGGGCCAAUACUGACGCUCAUGCACGAAAGCGUGGGGAGCAAACAGGAUUAGAUACCCUGGUAGUCCACGCCCUAAACGAUGUCAACUAGUUGUUGGGGAUUCAUUUCCUUAGUAACGUAGCUAACGCGUGAAGUUGACCGCCUGGGGAGUACGGUCGCAAGAUUAAAACUCAAAGGAAUUGACGG